UGGGGAAUAUUGGACAAUGGGCGCAAGCCUGAUCCAGCCAUGCCGCGUGUGUGAAGAAGGCCUUUUGGUUGUAAAGCACUUUAAGCGAGGAGGAGGCUACUUGGAUUAAUACUCUAGGAUAGUGGACGUUACUCGCAGAAUAAGCACCGGCUAACUCUGUGCCAGCAGCCGCGGUAAUACAGCGGGUGCGAGCGUUAAUCGGAUUUACUGGGCGUAAAGCGUGCGUAGGCGGCUUCUUAAGUCGGAUGUGAAAUCCCUGAGCUUAACUUAGGAAUUGCAUUCGAUACUGGGAAGCUAGAGUAUGGGAGAGGAUGGUAGAAUUCCAGGUGUAGCGGUGAAAUGCGUAGAGAUCUGGAGGAAUACCGAUGGCGAAGGCAGCCAUCUGGCCUAAUACUGACGCUGAGGUACGAAAGCAUGGGGAGCAAACAGG
RNAcentral lists this ribosomal RNA (430 nucleotides) under bacterium. Its description in RNAcentral is "partial 16S ribosomal RNA". It matches the Rfam family "Bacterial small subunit ribosomal RNA", at positions 355 to 776 of the family's 1533-position model. The record is from RNAcentral.